ACGGGGUGCCCCGCCCGCGGCAUCACGUAGUCACCCUCCCGUAGCUUCAGGGACGGGCAGUAGUCGCCCCGGCCGUCGCCCAGGUUUGUUAAAAACCAUAGGGCCGUGAAGGAAGGGGAGGAUGCCAUCGUCAAUCAAUGAAGAUGUAGGAUUGGAUGGGCUCGGAUGGCUUCUUCAAAGGUCCUGGUGGGCUUCCUCUGGGGUUCACCGAGUUUUCAAAAACAAUUAUUACCACAAACUCAUGAUAUUAUUGGUGAUGUAGCCGACUUUCACUGCUGGCUACAAAUCACUUGCGCUAAUGACUCUAUAGUAGUGUGCAAGAAGCAUUUCUCA
Sorghum bicolor (sorghum) is the source of this 333-nucleotide long non-coding RNA. RefSeq lists it as uncharacterized. Lineage: Eukaryota; Viridiplantae; Streptophyta; Magnoliopsida; Poales; Poaceae. The record is from RefSeq and is a predicted model, not a curated record. The transcript is spliced from 2 exons.